AGUGAACGCUGGCGGCAGGCCUAACACAUGCAAGUCGAACGGCAGCACAGUAAGAGCUUGCUCUUACGGGUGGCGAGUGGCGGACGGGUGAGGAAUACAUCGGAAUCUACUUUUUCGUGGGGGAUAACGUAGGGAAACUUACGCUAAUACCGCAUACGACCUACGGGUGAAAGCAGGGGAUCUUCGGACCUUGCGCGAUUGAAUGAGCCGAUGUCGGAUUAGCUAGUUGGCGGGGUAAAGGCCCACCAAGGCGACGAUCCGUAGCUGGUCUGAGAGGAUGAUCGGCCACACUGGAACUGAGACACGGUCCAGACUCCUACGGGAGGCAGCAGUGGGGAAUAUUGGACAAUGGGCGCAAGCCUGAUCCAGCCAUACCGCGUGGGUGAAGAAGGCCUUCGGGUUGUAAAGCCCUUUUGUUGGGAAAGAAAAGCAGCAGGUUAAUACCCCGCUGUUCUGACGGUACCCAAAGAAUAAGCACCGGCUAACUUCGUG
Molecule: ribosomal RNA, 492 nt
Filed under: uncultured bacterium
Lineage: Bacteria
Description: partial 16S ribosomal RNA
Rfam family: Bacterial small subunit ribosomal RNA
Source: RNAcentral